GACGAACGCUGGCGGCGUGCUUAACACAUGCAAGUCGAACGGUGACCCUCGGAGCUUGCUUCGGGGUGAGCAGUGGCGAACGGGUGAGUAACACGUGAGUAACCUGCCCCUGACUCUGGAAUAAGCGCUGGAAACGGCGUCUAAUACCGGAUACGACACGCCUCCGCAUGGGGAGCGUGUGGAAAGUUUUUCGGUCUGGGAUGGACUCGCGGCCUAUCAGCUUGUUGGUGAGGUAAUGGCUCACCAAGGCGAUGACGGGUAGCCGGCCUGAGAGGGCGACCGGCCACACUGGGACUGAGACACGGCCCAGACUCCUACGGGAGGCAGCAGUGGGGAAUAUUGCACAAUGGGCGAAAGCCUGAUGCAGCGACGCCGCGUGAGGGAUGACGGCCUUCGGGUUGUAAACCUCUUUUAGCAGGGAAGAAGCGAAAGUGACGGUACCUGCAGAAAAAGCACCGGCUAACUCUGUGCCAGCCGCCGCCGUAA
This 486-nucleotide ribosomal RNA is filed under the name uncultured bacterium. Its description in RNAcentral is "partial 16S ribosomal RNA". It matches the Rfam family "Bacterial small subunit ribosomal RNA", at positions 28 to 523 of the family's 1533-position model. The record is from RNAcentral.